Gopherus flavomarginatus (Mexican gopher tortoise) is the source of this 4942-nucleotide long non-coding RNA. RefSeq lists it as uncharacterized. NCBI's taxonomy places the organism in Eukaryota, Metazoa, Chordata, Testudines, Testudinidae. The record is from RefSeq and is a predicted model, not a curated record. The transcript has 2 exons.
GGGGGCCCUGUCGGGGGUGCGGGAGUGUGGAAUGGGGUUGCGGCAGUCAGGGAACAGGGGCGAUUGGAUGGGUCAGAGGUUCGGGGGGAGGGCUGUCUGGGCAGGGAUGUGGAGAGGGAUUGGGGCAGGCAGGGAGUAGGGGGAGUGGGAUGGGUCGGGAGCUCUGGGGGUCUUGGCGGGGAGCGGUUGCAUAGGUGUGGGAGUCCCAGGGGUCUCUCUGGGGACGGGGCUCUGGAUAAGGGUUGGGGCAGUCAGGAGACAAGUAGGGGGUAGGAUCCUAGGGGGGGCAGUUAGGGUGAGGGGAACUGCAGGGGGGGCAGUCGGGGGAGAAGGACCAAGGAGGCUUAGAUGAGGUGGGGUCCUGGGGGCCAGUUAGGGGCAGAGUCCCAGGAGGGGGCAAUCAGGGGACAAGGAGCAGAGGGGGUUGGGGAUUCAGAGGGGGGCAGUCAGGGAGUGGGAAGUGGGAGGGAGUGUAUCGGGUGGGGCUCCCUGGUUGCACACCCUAAUGAAAUGUGCUGUGCACGCCUAUCUGAACCGUGGUAAUCAGGGGAGUGCUGUGUAGGGUCCCUGGGGACACAGAGGAGCUGAAGUCCCUCAGCGUUAGGGGAACUAGGCAAUGCGAAGUGACGGGGUUCACACCCUGCACAGAUGGGGGUGAGGGAAUCAGCAUCCACUGGGGGCUGAGGGCUGGGAUGGGCAGUAGAACGGGAGGCAGGUUGGGACCGAGGAACCGGGGAACAUUUCAAUCCUGAACAAUGCAAAACAGAGAAAUGCUCCCGAAUCUCUUCCAGCCAAUUAACAUUUCUGUGCAGAAAGCUAAAGGUUGUAACAGAAAGGAGUGAAACCAAAUGGCCAGACAAUGGCGCCAGCAGCGUAGGAACGAAAAGCCCAGGAUUUGUGUGUGUACCUGGGCCCUGGAAAGGGAUUUGGUUCCACUCAUUGCAUUGCUGUGGCCGGUAACAUCCCAGGAAUGAGCCAGGUCAAUGACCAUGACACCAGGUGUGAGGAGGCUUUAAUCUGAUUCCAACGGAAUAAUGAUUUCACACCUGAGUUAUUAGCGGCAGCUUCCCAAGGGCAGUUCCAACUGGUUCCUCCCAGAGAUGGGUGGUCAGGGAACAGGGGGCCUCUGGCUCCGACGGUCAGUUCUCCAGGCGUUCUCCCUCCCUCCCCCCCCCACACUAUCACAUGCCCCCAUUAGUAAUGAACUAAUGAAUAUAAACUGGCCAUCAACAAGCUUAACCUUGAAAUUAGGUGAAGGUUUCUAACCACCAGAGGAGUGAAGUUCUGGAACAGCUUUCCAAGGGGAGCAGUGGGGGCAAAAACCCGAACUGGCUUCAAGACUGAGCUUGAUACGUUUAGGAUGGGGUGGUAUGAUGGGAUUGCCUGUAACGGCAUGUGGCCGAUCUGUGAUUGCUAGUAACAAAUAUCUCCAACAGCCGGAGAUGGGACAAUAGGUGGGGAGGGCUUGAAGUUACUGCAGAGAAUUUUUUCCCAGGUGUCUCGGUGCCUCUUCUCCACAUGCUCAGGGUCUAGCUGAUCACUAUAUUUGCAUUUGGGAAGGAGUUUUCUCCAAGGGUAGAUUGGCAGAGACCCUGGGGGGUUUCCGCCUUCCUCUGCAGCAUGGGGCAGAGGUCACUUGCAGGUUUAAAUCAGUAUAAGUGGCGGAUUCUCUGUAACUUGACAGUUUUAAUCCAUGAUUUCAGGAUGUCAGUAACUCAAGCAGAGGUUAGGAGUCUAUUACAGGAGUGGGUGGGUGGGGUCUUUUGGCCUGCAAGGUGCAUGAGAUCGGACCAGAUGAUCACGAUGGUCCCUUCUGCCCUUAAAGGCUCUGAGUCCAAAAUGGAGAGAGAGGUAAAGGAAACAUUUAAAAAAAUAAACCAAACAUUGUAAUGCCAGGAGGACUCCAACAGCUCACUGUAUAGUCCCGCCUCUUUCUUCCUCCACUGGGUGUUGAAUGACCUGCUGGGAUGUGGGACAUUAUUUCUCCCAUUCCAUUGAUAAACAGAUACAACGGGACUGAAAUUAAACCAAUUCCUGGCCAAGAAAAGGGCACAUCCCUGCAUUGGCCGGGAAUUGCGCCCAGGUCAACUGCUUAGAAGACAGCUAUGCUCACUCCUAUACCACCAACGCAUCUGGCAGGAGGGUUUCUCCCAGGUGCCACUUAUGCCAAAUGACUCACCCCAACAGAGCUCAGCAGCUGGCCAGCCAGGCUGGAGGCAGCCUGUGAGCAGAGACAAGUUCCUAGAGUAACUGAUAGAUGGGGACAUGUAGGGCCGGCUCCAGGCACCAGCGAAGGAAGCAGCUGCUUGGGGCGGCCAAUGGAAAGGGGUGGCACAGCCGGGUCUUCGGUGGCAGGUCUCUCAGUCCCUCUCUUCCGCUCUGAGCUGCCGCUGAAGAGGAAGAGAGGGACCGAAGGACUCACCACCAAAUUACCGCUGAAGAAUGAAUCGGCACGUUUUAGCUGCUACCAAAGUGCCGCCAAUUGGCUUUAUUUUCCCCCCCCAGUUCACUGCUUGGGGCGGCAAAAAAGCUGGAGCUGCCCCUGGGGACAUGAGCUCGACAUCCCAGCCUGUGUUAGCUCCAACCCCAUAUCUGCCCUCAGAGAAGGGAAAUGAAAAUCGCUGACCAAAAUGACAAUUUUCACCCUGUUGUCAGAUGCCAUUGGUGUGGAGCUCUGCUCAUUUGAUGUUGAUAACAGUCGGCUGCAUGUGUGCUGCCCCGGCUCUGCAGAUCGCUGGCACAGCAGACCCAGAGAGAACCCCCAAUGACCACAGACACUGAUGAGGGAUGAAGGCACCCGGCCAGGUUUAUUGUCUAAUGAAGCACGGUAAUAGUUCCCCGUAGACUCUACAGGACAUACUACAAGUAUGUGCCCCCGACAAUGGACCAGUUCAGUCAGUGGCGGGACUCUCCACUGCCCCCUAGGCCAGACAAAGACGUCCACUCGUGUGCAUUCGUAUAUAUGGGCCUCAUCCUACUACACAUCAACGGUGGUGCUGACCACAAUGCAACGCCACUUUGGGGCCCAGGAAACAAGCACCGAGUGGUGGGAUCACAACGUGAUGCACGUCUGGGAUGAUGAGUGUUGUCAGAGGUGUGUUGUUAGAAGCACUACCGGUAUGGUGCUCUGCUCUGCUCUCUCCAAUGUUGGUAUCACUCGGCUGCUUGCGUGAGCUCACCCUGUGUGCUGCCCCAGCUCUGCAGAUAGCUGAUGCAGCAGACCUGACGAGAACCCCCAAUGACCACAGACUCUAGUAAGGUGCAAAGUCACGUCUGCUAGGUUUAUUGCGAUCUUGGACACAAUGGCAGUUCCCUGUAGGUUUCUUAGCCUAACUCAGGGCAUACUACGAGAAAGUGCCUCUUGGCCAUGGACCCGGCUCAGUCAGUGGCGGGACUUUCCACUGCCCCCUAGGCCGGACAAAGACACCGCCCCAAGGAUGCAUUCUUAUACACAGGUACAAACAAGUUACACAUCACUCCUGAUGUAUUGAGGUACAACCCUUCUACGUAGCAAGGUACAACCCCUCUACGUAGUAAGGUGCCGCCUCUCACCUUGUACAUGUUGGUUUGAACAAAACAACUCUAUCCAUCAUAUUACCCUUUUGCCCCUGUCAUUGGGAUGGGUCAGCCUGUUCCUUGUUAUCUGUGUGGAAUGUGCAAGUAUGUGAAUGUUCUGAUCUCUAGUGUUCAGUACCUUUUAGGUACGUAUCUUCUUGCAGCAUCAGCCCUUUCCUUGCCAGCUUCUGUGAGCAGGGCCUGCCUUUGGCUCAGAGCUUCACUUUGCUUUAUGUUAGCAAAGUCUUGGCCAUUAUUUUACUUCAGGUCUCAUACUGGGCCUUUAUCAGGGCCUUCACUUACUACAAUAAGCAGUGGCUGCAGAGCUUUUGGAUGUGGAAAGCCACCGUCAUGGGACUGUGUGAUGAGCUCGCCCCAGCCCUGCAGUGCAAGGUCACGAGAAUGAGAGCUGCCCUGCCAUUCGAGAAGCAGGUGGCAAUUGCACUGUGGAAGCUGGCUAUUCCAGACUCCUACCAAUCGGUCAUUAACCAGUUCGGAGUGGGAAAGUCGACUGUUGGAUACGUUUACAAGUGUGCAGAGCCAUUUAUUGCAUCCUGCUCUGAAAGACUGAGCCUCUGGGAAAUGUGCAUGACAGUGUGGAUGGCUUUGCACAAAUGGGCUUCCCUAACUGCGGAGGGGGAUAGAUGGCAUGCAUAUUCCAAUCCCGGCACCUGAUUACCUAGUCACCAAGUACAUGAAUCGCAAGGGGUAUUUUUCUAGGGUUUUCCAGGCACUUGUGGAUGACCGUGGGCAUUUCACGGACAUUAACACAGACUGAUCCGGAAAGGGGCAUGACACACGCAUCUUUCAGAACAGUUGUCUAUUCAGGACGCUGAAAGCAGGGACUUUCUUCCUGGACCAGAAGAUCACUGUAGGGGAAGCCAAAAUGCCCAUUGUGAUCCUGGAAAACCCCACCUACCCCUUAAUGCCAUGGCUUAUGAAGCCAUACACAGGGCAUCUUGACAGCAACAAGGAGCGGUUCAACAACAGGCUGAGCAAGUGCAGAAUGACUGUUGUGUGCUUUUGGCCAUUUAGAGGCCCGCUGGUGCUGCCUAUAUGGAAGGCUGGACCUGGCCCAUGACAAUAUUCCUAUGCUAACAGCCAUGUGCUGCACACCCCAUAAUAUUUGUGAAGGGAACAGUGAAAGCUUCUCUCAGGGCUGGAUGACUGAGGCUGAGCACCUGGAGGCUGAAUUUGAACAUCCAGAGAUCAGGGCUAUUACAGGGGCAGAGUGUGGGGCCAUAAGGAUCAGGGAUGGCUCGAGGCAGGAAUUUGAAGCUAAAAGCCACUAAUAGUUGUUGCUAUGCACAGGAGUGCAGUGCUUGUAAAGCUAGGAGAUGAUUGUGAUUGGUGCAGACGAUGCACUAUAAAGGUUUAAGAGAAUUGC